GUAGUUCAGUCGGUAGAACGGCGGACUGUUAAUCCGUAUGUCACUGGUUCGAGUCCAGUGCCUGA
RNAcentral lists this transfer RNA (65 nucleotides) under Citrobacter portucalensis. RNAcentral's name for it is "tRNA-Asn". The stretch from base 2 to 59 matches the Rfam family "tRNA", at positions 8 to 63 of the family's 71-position model. From Rfam's summary of the family: Transfer RNA (tRNA) molecules are approximately 80 nucleotides in length. Their secondary structure includes four short double-helical elements and three loops (D, anti-codon, and T loops). The record is from RNAcentral. Lineage: Bacteria; Pseudomonadati; Pseudomonadota; Gammaproteobacteria; Enterobacterales; Enterobacteriaceae.